AAAAGGAGAUGCUGAGGCAUUUUCUGGGGUUCAAAUGGAGAAAAGGAAAUGUGGAUACAUUUUCUGGAGACGGGGUUCAAUGACGUUGCCAGCGGAAUUAUCACGAGAGAUUGGAGAAAAGGAGAUGCUGAGGCAUUUUCUGGGGUUCAAAUGGAGAAAAGGAAAUGUGGAUACAUUUUCUGGAGACGGGGUUCAAACGGAGAAAGGGGGAUGUUGCGACAUUUUCUGGAGAACGGGGUUCAUUCUGGCGAUCGAGAGUUAUCGUCAGGCGACUGGGGUUCAAACUGGAGAUGGGGUUCAUUAUUUUGGCAAAGAAGGAGUGCUGAGGCAUU
RNAcentral lists this long non-coding RNA (332 nucleotides) under Lathyrus oleraceus (garden pea). RNAcentral's name for it is "Pisum sativum (pea) long non-coding RNA (PSAT_LNC016038)". Lineage: Eukaryota; Viridiplantae; Streptophyta; Magnoliopsida; Fabales; Fabaceae. The record is from RNAcentral.